GCCUUUCUCAUCCCUUCGUUUUUGAGUGACCCCGGAGAGAUAAGACUCCUUUUCUUGCUUCCUUAGAGCGUUGUUUUGUGUCACACGCACUGUUCCACAAAACCGCGGCAUGGGAUGGAUACCUGGAGCAAAGUGAAGUCUAAGUUUCCAAGGAGACCAGGAUUGGAAUUCCAUUACCAGUAGAUAAGAGCCGGGUAACACCAACAACAUUCUUUUCUCAGCGCUUGUGCCAAAUCCUCUCUCUUCAAUCUGCAGUUUAUCCACUUUGGUACUACUACUGCAAGCACGCAAGCAAGCGAGGUCCAUUAGCACAAGCCAGCGACUUACACAAGUGGUGGUUUAGCCGAAGGAUUUUCCACUCGAGUUGCUGUAAAUCCCCCCCGGGUCAAGCUCGCUCCACACUCUCGGGGGCUUUGUCUCAGCAACAGCAGCAACUGCAACCAAGUAAGCAGUGCUUGAGUCCCUGUUUUGCUCGCAAAGUAGGAUGGAUUUAGAGGCAGAGAUCCCGGUGUCAAUGCCUCAGCCGAGCUACCUUCAUGACUCGUCCAACAAGUUGAAGCUCAUGGCCAGUGGUGCCAACGGAGUCACGCCCGUCACAGCCGUGGAAGAAGCCGCGGCAGCAGUGGUUGCAGCGUCGCGAGCUACUUUCGCUGAGCCCAUCCUAGCACAACCUCUUGCAGCCGGAACUCCAAACACCGCCACCACCACUAAUGGCUCCAAAGUUGAGCCGAGCAAGAAACCGGUGCGGUACAGGGAGUGCCUCAAGAACCACGCCGCUGGCAUCGGUGGUCAUGCUCUCGACGGCUGCGGAGAAUUCAUGCCCAGCGGAGAAGAAGGCACCAUCGAGUCGCUCAAGUGCUCGGCCUGCGACUGCCACCGGAAUUUUCACAGACGAGAAGUCGAAGGUGAGCCUCCGUCUUGUGUAUCUGCCUGCUUAAAGCUCCUCCUCAUUCGUCCCCAGGUGCCAAGGACGUGAUGUCCAAGAAGAAGCCAUCGUCAGUCCUCCCGCUGCAGCAACACGGCUCUCCA
This 1029-nucleotide long non-coding RNA is filed under the name Selaginella moellendorffii. Its description in RNAcentral is "long non-coding RNA (SMOE_LNC001594)". Lineage: Eukaryota; Viridiplantae; Streptophyta; Lycopodiopsida; Selaginellales; Selaginellaceae. The record is from RNAcentral.